AGCUAUUUUUAGGAUAGAAAUAACGUAGUUAACCAUGCAUUUGGUAAACUAAGGCGAAUUGACAUGAUGAUUCUAUAAUAGAUAUAGAAUGGCACCUUGCGAUAAGUUAAACUGGGAUAUUACAUUGUGUACGCAAUUGUUGUUCCUGAUGACCACGCACGCAAUGGGUUGAUCGACUAUCUAUAGACAGCGUGUAUGCUACAGACGGACGUUUUCAAAUGGCCGAUCGUUACCUACCAAAACAAUAGCAACUUUAGGCGUGUCCAGCCAGGCGAUACGGCAUACGUGAAGCGGCCAGCAACAGGAAUCUAGAGCUAUCUACAAAAUGUUUGAUGACACUGGUCAAUCUACUUCGCCUUUUUUUGUCGCCCAGGGGUUUGUGCGUCGUUGAUCUUUUCUUCUUGCGUGGGCAAAUCGCUCACGUGAAUGAAGCAAGGCUGAAAACAGGUGAAGGCGUGAUUGCCCCACGGUUUACUUCGAGCUAUUGACACUGGCUAAACAGACGUCAACCGGUUCUAUCAAUGGAUCUUUUAGUUAGGGUUGGAGCUGACGCCUUCCCGCAGGUUCAUGCCGGCUGUAUGAGAGAACGAGGCAUAUGCUAGUGUGAAACACUGUAAAAAAAAGACUGGCAUUGCUGAGAUGCGUAUGUCGUGCAUGCGCCUCGAAAUCUGUUUUUAUAAAAUGUACAAAAAACGUCAACAGAAAUAAAUAAAAUGAUUCGGCCAUAGUUAAGCCGCAUGCGAACACAAGAGUUACUUUCUGCUAAUUUUUCUUGUUGGUCAUCUUGGCAGUCGAAGCAUUACAAAGCCUUAAGGCAGAAAAAGGCUCGUUUGGACGUAAAACAUGUGUUAUGUGUAUGUAUGCAUGGAUCAUUUCGACAACGGUUCUAACAAUGUUUUCCGCGUGUGUAAUAAAUAAAAAUUAAAUUUUUACGAGACAUCUACCGAGCUCUACAUAACAAACCUGAAAUUGUACUUUCGAAAAAAAAAUGUUUCGCCAUAGCUUCAAGUGUUACGGUAUGAUGAAUAUAUAUACAGUUGGUUACG
Long non-coding RNA from Varroa destructor (honeybee mite), 1046 nucleotides. RefSeq lists it as uncharacterized. Lineage: Eukaryota; Metazoa; Arthropoda; Arachnida; Mesostigmata; Varroidae. The record is from RefSeq and is a predicted model, not a curated record.